CCCUUAGACGCUCUGGGCCGCACGCGCGCUACACUGACGAAGGCAACGAGCUUUCCUUUACCGAAAGGUACGGGUAAUCUUUUGAAACUUCGUCGUGCUGGGGAUAGAUCCUUGCAAUUAUUGAUCUUAAACGAGGAAUUCCUAGUAAGCGCAAGUCAUCAACUUGCGUUGAUUACGUCCCUGCCCUUUGUACACACCGCCCGUCGCUACUACCGAUUGAAUGGUUUAGUGAGGCCUUCGGAUCCGCGACUCGUUUUGUGGAGAAGUUGGACAAACUCAGUCAUUUAGAGGAAGUAAAAGUCGUAACA
Molecule: ribosomal RNA, 308 nt
Filed under: uncultured eukaryote
Lineage: Eukaryota
Description: partial 18S ribosomal RNA
Rfam family: Eukaryotic small subunit ribosomal RNA
Source: RNAcentral